UGACAUUACUACUCUGGAAAUAUUUUGAUUGAUGUAUGCUGUCAUCAUGGCUACUUUUUUUCAGGACUAGAGGACUAGGCUACCUGAUUGACUGAUAGCUCUCCUGAGAGCAAUAAAUACAUCCAGGUCUCUUUCUCUGCCUUUAUUUCUAGCUAAUUGCUCCAGCUUUUUACUACAUUGCCAAGACUUUAUUUUAUCUAAAAACCACUUUGAGAUCCUCAAAUGAAUUUUUUUUAUGUAAAAGAUUAUUGCUAUCAAGACAUUAAAAAGAUUAUUGCUAUCAAGACAUUAUUAGAUUAAAAAGAAGUUCUUUCCUUUUUGAUAAUCUCUUCCUUCCUUCCUGAAUUCAGUUUUUAUGGCAUCACAAAUAGGCCUGGAGGUCAUGAUGUGAAUAAUCUAAGACUAGAACUUUGAACUGCUUUUUAAAACUCAGAAGCUUGGUAGAUUUUUAACACCUCCUCAUUUUUCUACAUGUCCCAGCACAUCUUAGCUUUACAGCUAUGCCAUCAAGCAUGAACUUUGGAACUUAUAUCUAAGCAGUUCCUUUUUUUCUUUUCUCUUUUUUUCUUUCUUUCUUUUCUUUUUUUUUGUUUUUUCCCCAGAAAUCUAAUCUUACCAUGUUAAUGGCACGGGAUGUUCUACAGUUUUUUACAAUACACCUACAAAUAUGAUCACAUCUCGAUAACCUUGUUUUCUGUACUGACAGUCUUUUCUUCUGCUCUUCUCCCUGUCUGCCCGCCCAGCACAGCGCCUCAGCUCGCUGUUGACAUCACCGGGGCUUAGAUCACACCUGGGACCCUCUCACCGACCUCUUUAAAGAUUCCUGGGGAGAAAUGAAAACAUGCAUGUCCCUUGAGUGGAACAGGAAGUUCAGCAAGUCAAAACACCGUCUCUAAAGCUUUGGUUGGGGUUAUCCAUUUGUCAGAAGUGCAUGUCUUUACCUGUAUCAGCAUUGAGGCAGGCCGGAGGUCUGAUGCAUCCAACCACAGUGUUGUGAUAAGGGAAGGGAAGCAGAACUUGCCCACAGCAUAUCUCCAUGAGGAGAUGAAAAGGCUGAGCUCCCGUAGCGCACAGGAGCAGUUUCAGCUUUCCCUUUCAGUAGACAGUUUGUGAAGAGGUACUUGGAACACCUCAGUUAACAUACAGUGAGUCCUGAGGAUGUCCUUCAGUCCUUGUGCGGAAGUUGUAACACUCUAUAGAAAAGAAAAUACUAGUUGUACUGUGGAAGAAAGCCAAGUCUCAGUCAGCUCCUAAUAAAAAAAUCUGGUCAAAAGUUUGGAAGUUUGGAUUAUUCCUCUGUUGGAAAGAUUGAUGGUGGAGUCAUCUAUCUUUGAAGCAACUCUAUUCAUAAGAAAGUUCAAAGCCCUGUUUCUUUGAACAGAGGUGAAAUCAAACAACCUGAGCCAGUUUCCCACCUCCCAGAUUGCAGGUACUUUCCAGACAGCGCCUUGCCAUCUCACUCCAUAAAUAGAGCUUCUUUUGGCUGUGUGCACCAAUGUGUAGCUUGUACGUCACCUCCAGUCUGGGAGAUAAGUCCAGCCAGCCUGGCUGUCCUCUCCCAGAAGAGACAAUGAUCAGAUGCUCAGGGAACAAACGGAAGGCAAAUAUGCACGUGCUGCUUCUGGCCUGUCUUAGUCCAGAGCGCAGAGCUGACUUCUCUUGCCCAGGACUACGGAGACUGGCCCUUCUGCGGAGGUGCAGAGGAGGGAGGGGUAUCCAAAGCUCAUGUGCUGCUGGAAGAAAACACAAACUUUUAGACAUGUGAACCCUUUGUCAGCCCUUGUUCACCCUGUAAACCCCAUAUAUCCCUAGGCCUUUGUGGCUACAACCACAUCCAUUUUACACAUACUCUCAUGACCAAAACAAUACUUAAUAAAGA
Molecule: long non-coding RNA, 1879 nt
Organism: Dromaius novaehollandiae (emu)
Lineage: Eukaryota; Metazoa; Chordata; Aves; Casuariiformes; Dromaiidae
Exons: 4
Source: RefSeq, a predicted model, not a curated record